RNAcentral lists this ribosomal RNA (587 nucleotides) under uncultured bacterium. RNAcentral describes it as "partial 16S ribosomal RNA". It matches the Rfam family "Bacterial small subunit ribosomal RNA", at positions 355 to 1375 of the family's 1533-position model. The record is from RNAcentral.
UGGGGAAUUUUGGACAAUGGGCGAAAGCCUGAUCCAGCAAUGCCGCGUGUGUGAAGAAGGCCUUCGGGUUGUAAAGCACUUUUGUCCGGAAAGAAAUCCUUGGCUCUAAUACAGUCGGGGGAUGACGGUACCGGAAGAAUAAGCAUCGGCUAACUACGUGCCAGCAGCCGCGGUAAUACGUAGGGUGCAAGCGUUAAUCGGAAUUACUGGGCGUAAAGCGUGCGCAGGCGGUUUGCUAAGACCGAUGUGAAAUCCCCGGGCUCAACCUGGGAACUGCAUUGGUGACUGGCAGGCUAGAGUAUGGCAGAGGGGGGUAGAAUUCCACGUGUAGCAGUGAAAUGCGUAGAGAUGUGGAGGAAUACCGAUGGCGAAGGCAGCCCCCUGGGCCAAUACUGACGCUCAUGCACGAAAGCGUGGGGGAGUAAACAGGAUUAGAUACCCUGGUAGUCCACGCCCUAAAACGAUGUCAACUAGUUGUUGGGGAUUCAUUUCCUUAGUAACGUAGCUAACGCGUGAAGUUGACCGCCUGGGGAGUACGGUCGCAAGAUUAAAACUCAAAGGAAUUGACGGGGUCAUAGCUGUUUCCU